RNAcentral lists this long non-coding RNA (509 nucleotides) under Ananas comosus (pineapple). RNAcentral describes it as "long non-coding RNA (ACOM_LNC022432)". Lineage: Eukaryota; Viridiplantae; Streptophyta; Magnoliopsida; Poales; Bromeliaceae. The record is from RNAcentral.
UGAUAACUUUCGCCGGAGCUCCCUGAAUGUCCGUUUGAGCUCAAACUUGACAGUCAUGUUCGGUUUUAUUUAACUUAACAAGCUGACGAUCGCUGGUUCAGUUUCGACCCCGUUUGGUCACUGAAAACUGUACCGAACUGUAAUCUUUAUCAGAUAACUGUCGGAUUUUAUUUCUCACUCUACGGGUGUCAGAAAAAUAUGAAACCUUAAAUCUAGCCUCAUAAAAAUAUUUCUGACAUCUCUGCCAAUUUUCAUAAUUUUCUGAGACUGUGCAUUUUCUGCUAAUUUAUCUGUCCCGUUUCCAACAGAAAAUUCUAAAUCUUCUGUUUUAAUUCCGAUUUCAGCACAAGUCACUUUUGACUUAUGUUUUACUUCUAUAAAUCCAAUAAAAAUAGUUUUCCACACUAUUUUUAUUUAGUUUUUAAUUUUAUACCAAAAUCUGGUAUGUUACACUACCCGGCGCGUGUCCAGACCCGCCAUACGUCUAAAACAUAUAAGGCGUCUAGAAA